UACGAAGGGUGCAAACGUUGCUCGGAAUCAUUGGGCGUAAAGCGCACGUAGGCGGCCUCAUAAGUCGGAUGUGAAAUCCCUCGGCUCAACCGAGGACGUGCAUUCGAAACUGCGAGGCUCGAGUAUGGAAGAGGGUCGCAGAAUUCCCGGUGUAGAGGUGAAAUUCGUAGAUAUCGGGAGGAAUACCAGUGGCGAAAGCGACUUCCUGGACCAAUACUGACGCUCAUGUGCGAAAGCGUGGGAGCAAACAGG
RNAcentral lists this ribosomal RNA (252 nucleotides) under uncultured bacterium. Its description in RNAcentral is "partial 16S ribosomal RNA". It matches the Rfam family "Bacterial small subunit ribosomal RNA", at positions 524 to 776 of the family's 1533-position model. The record is from RNAcentral.